This 492-nucleotide ribosomal RNA is filed under the name uncultured bacterium. RNAcentral's name for it is "partial 16S ribosomal RNA". It matches the Rfam family "Bacterial small subunit ribosomal RNA", at positions 29 to 507 of the family's 1533-position model. The record is from RNAcentral.
AGUGAACGCUGGCGGUAGGCCUAACACAUGCAAGUCGAACGGCAGCACAGUAAGAGCUUGCUCUUACGGGUGGCGAGUGGCGGACGGGUGAGGAAUACAUCGGAAUCUACUUUUUCGUGGGGGAUAACGUAGGGAAACUUACGCUAAUACCGCAUACGACCUACGGGUGAAAGCAGUGGAUCUUCGGACCUUUCGCGAUUGAAUGAGCCGGUGUCGGAUUAGCUAGUUGGCGGGGUAAAGGCCCACCAAGGCGACGAUCCGUAGCUGGUCUGAGAGGAUGAUCAGCCACACUGGAACUGAGACACGGUCCAGACUCCUACGGGAGGCAGCAGUGGGGAAUAUUGGACAAUGGGCGCAAGCCUGAUCCAGCCAUACCGCGUGGGUGAAGAAGGCCUUCGGGUUGUAAAGCCCUUUUGUUGGGAAAGAAAAGCAGCAGGUUAAUACCCCGCUGUUCUGACGGUACCCAAAGAAUAAGCACCGGCUAACUUCGUG